This is a long non-coding RNA of Olea europaea var. sylvestris, 195 nucleotides long. RefSeq lists it as uncharacterized. The transcript is spliced from 3 exons. The record is from RefSeq and is a predicted model, not a curated record. Lineage: Eukaryota; Viridiplantae; Streptophyta; Magnoliopsida; Lamiales; Oleaceae.
AAAAAGGUGGGCAGAAAGAGAUGGAAGAAUCGAGGGAAAAAAAAUAGGGAAAGGAAGAAGAGGAAAUUGAAGGAAAGAGCAUGAUUUCAAGCCAAUCUUUGUGAGUGGUGAUUGAUAUUUACAUUAAGGUGAUCCUAAUUGAGGAUCUAUCACUACCUGCUACCCCAAGCUGUUGAAUCUAUUAAUUUUUUUUUU